GGAAAAUUGAUUAGUGAAGUUGCUGGACACUCCCUUGCUGUUACAUCUCUUGCUUUGUCGCGUAAUGGCAAUACAAUAUUGACUAGUGGGAGAGAUAACUUGCAUAAUUUAUUUGAUAUUCGAUCUUUGGAAGUCUGUGGGACAUUACGGGCGUCUGGGAAUAGAGUAGCUUCCAAUUGGAGCCGUUCUUGCAUCAGUCCAGACGACAACUAUGUUGCUG
Molecule: unclassified non-coding RNA, 220 nt
Filed under: Hevea brasiliensis (rubber tree)
Lineage: Eukaryota; Viridiplantae; Streptophyta; Magnoliopsida; Malpighiales; Euphorbiaceae
Source: RNAcentral